UACGGAGGGGCUAGCGUUGUUCGGAAUUACUGGGCGUAAAGCGCACGUAGGCGGCUUUGCAAGUUAGAGGUGAAAGCCCGGGGCUCAACUCCGGAAUUGCCUUUAAAACUGCAUCGCUAGAAUUGUGGAGAGGUAAGUGGAAUUCCGAGUGUAGAGGUGAAAUGCGUAGAGAUCCGGAAGAACACCGGUGGCGAAGGCGGCAC
This 203-nucleotide ribosomal RNA is filed under the name uncultured bacterium. RNAcentral describes it as "partial 16S ribosomal RNA". It matches the Rfam family "Bacterial small subunit ribosomal RNA", at positions 524 to 727 of the family's 1533-position model. The record is from RNAcentral.